RNAcentral lists this microRNA precursor (80 nucleotides) under Fukomys damarensis (Damara mole-rat). RNAcentral describes it as "miRNA (ENSFDAG00000002732.1)". Lineage: Eukaryota; Metazoa; Chordata; Mammalia; Rodentia; Bathyergidae. The record is from RNAcentral.
GUGUAUCUGCCAGAAGUUGUAGUGGUUAAGGCCAGGCGUGGUGGUGCAUGCCAGCACUCGGGAGGCUGAGGCAGGAGGAU